UUUCUUUUUUUGUCCUAUCACGAGAAAAUGAACAUGACGAGUGCCACACAAGGAAAGUAAAGCUUGGAUGAUAUCAUUGAAAUGUAAACCUUCUCUACACACACACAUACACACACACACACCAAAGCCAUGUCUUAACUUCCUGUCAUCCUUUUCCGCAAAUGUCGUACCACCAAGUCACCGUUCGACAUUCCUCAAAGUCUGGGGAGUUGGAACUCCAGCAGCCCUUCUUCUCCUGGAGCAGCCCGGCUCAUUAGUGGUAUCUCUGCAGAAGCGUGAGCAGCUCCUCCGCCAUAUGCCGAGGAACCAACCUCAUCAACUGUGCUGCCCAGUCUGUGCCAGGAUGCCUCUUCUCACGUGCUGUAAACAUCACUUGACUCACACACACACACACACACACAAUCAAGCUGCUACAGUGCCGUCUGACCCCCUCCGGCAGUUGGGAGUUCGUAUUGUUUGUUUGUAUUCAAGGAUAAAAAAAACAUGUUUUUAUAGCUAACCAAGCAACUUUCAUGAAUCACAGGAACCAAAAUAAACCUCCCCUGGUUUA
Molecule: long non-coding RNA, 550 nt
Organism: Pseudoliparis swirei
Lineage: Eukaryota; Metazoa; Chordata; Actinopteri; Perciformes; Liparidae
Exons: 2
Source: RefSeq, a predicted model, not a curated record